This 550-nucleotide ribosomal RNA is filed under the name uncultured bacterium. RNAcentral's name for it is "bacterial SSU rRNA". It matches the Rfam family "Bacterial small subunit ribosomal RNA", at positions 355 to 896 of the family's 1533-position model. The record is from RNAcentral.
UAGGGAAUCUUCCACAAUGGGCGAAAGCCUGAUGGAGCAACGCCGCGUGUGUGAUGAAGGCUUUAGGGUCGUAAAGCACUGUUGUAUGGGAAGAAAUGCUAGAAUAGGGAAUGAUUCUAGUUCGACGGUACCAUACCAGAAAGGGACGGCUAAAUACGUGCCAGCAGCCGCGGUAAUACGUAUGUCCCGAGCGUUAUCCGGAUUUAUUGGGCGUAAAGCGAGCGCAGACGGUUGAUUAAGUCUGAUGUGAAAGCCCGGAGCUCAACUCCGGAAUGGCAUUGGAAACUGGUUAACUUGAGUGUUGUAGAGGUAAGUGGAACUCCAUGUGUAGCGGUGGAAUGCGUAGAUAUAUGGAAGAACACCAGUGGCGAAGGCGGCUUACUGGACAACAACUGACGUUGAGGCUCGAAAGUGUGGAUAGCAAACAGGAUUAGAUACCCUGGUAGUCCACACCGUAAACGAUGAAUACUAGGUGUUAGGAGGUUUCCGCCUCUUAGUGNCGAAGCUAACGCAUUAAGUAUUCCGCCUGGGGAGUACGACCGCAAGGUUG